Polistes dominula (European paper wasp) is the source of this 603-nucleotide long non-coding RNA. Lineage: Eukaryota; Metazoa; Arthropoda; Insecta; Hymenoptera; Vespidae. The record is from RefSeq and is a predicted model, not a curated record.
UUCUCUCUGAUAUAUGCAUGCUGACAUAGUGCAGUUUUAUGGUAUUAUUGUGUUGGACAUCAACAACUUUAUAAUAAAAUCAAGUUUAAAUACCUGUGCAUAAAUAAAUUGAGAUAUAAAUAGAAAUAUUAAACCAAUAUAAAAAUAUGUUAAAUCGUACAAGAAAGAAGGAAUAUUAUUAUGACAAAUUUCAUCGAGGUUUUGUCAAUGUAUGCAUGGCAGUAACAGUAAUGACUGGAGCAAUGGUAUUAUAUUCAGCUGCUACAUAUUUUCUGUAUACUGUACCUGAAAGGAAAUUAAAGAUUAAAGAAAAGGAAAGAGAGCUUUUAAGUGAAGGAAUGGAUUUGGAAAAUAUUCCAACUACAUAAUAUUAUGACAAAAUAUUAUUUAAACGUAGACAAUCAUGCAAAAAGAAAGAAAAAAAAGUUUGUUUUGUAGUUUAGGCACCGUCCAUCCUAAAAUCAAUUUUUUCUUAGGGAGAUAUGAUGACACACAAAAGUAGGAUAAUAUAAUUAAUUAUAUAUUUGUUAUUGUUGAAAAUAUAUCUGUGAAAAUGAAAAUCAUUUACAAAUUUUGUAGAUCAGCGUUUUACCAUAAUUUUGG